GCCUACUGCCUCCAUUUUUGAUACACUGUUUUGGCUCUUCGUCUUAUUUGAACUUUUUGCGAUUAAUAUUUUUAUUGUUACUAGAUAAUAAAAUAUGAAUAAUACUUUAAGCGUGACUAAUUUUUUAAGUUUUUUAAUAAAAUUUUCAAAUAAGACGAAUAAUCAAACGUUGAACACGGAAAAACGAAAAAUGAAGUUAUC
Molecule: microRNA precursor, 201 nt
Filed under: Oryza brachyantha (malo sina)
Lineage: Eukaryota; Viridiplantae; Streptophyta; Magnoliopsida; Poales; Poaceae
Description: MIR812 microRNA precursor family
Rfam family: MIR812 microRNA precursor family (bases 22-185)
Source: Rfam by way of RNAcentral